CCGCCGGCGACGGUGUGGUACAACCCGAUGCCGUCGUCACCGGGGACACAGCGGGUGUACGGUGACGGCAUCUACGAUCUCUUCCACUUCGGCCAUGCUCGUGCGCUCGAACAGGCCAAGAAAUCAUUCCCCAACACCUAUUUGCCCGUGGGCUGGUGCAGUGACGAGGUCACUCAGUGGUACAAGGGCAAGACCGUCAUGACCGAGGAGGAGUGCUACGAAUCGCUUCGCCAUUGCAAGUGGGUCGACCAAGUCAUACCUGAUGCUCCCUGGAUUGUCAACCAGGAGUUCCUCAACAAGAACCGCAUCGACUACGUCGCGCACGACGCGCUUCCAUCAAUGCAGACACUAGGAGCUGCCAAUGACGACUACGAAUUUGUCAAGUCCAUUGGGAGGUUCAAGGAGACCAAGCGCACCGAUGGCAUCUCGACAUCGGACAUCAUCAAGAGGAUCUUGAAGGACUACAACCAGUACAUCAUGUGGAAUAUCACCCGGGGUUACACCCGAAAAGACCUCGGUGUGAGCUAUGUCAAGGAGAAGCAAUUUAGAGUGAACAUGGGCAUUACCAAGCUAAAAGAGAAGGUCAAGGAGAUCAAGAGAAGGUGA
Molecule: ribosomal RNA, 606 nt
Filed under: Triticum aestivum (bread wheat)
Lineage: Eukaryota; Viridiplantae; Streptophyta; Magnoliopsida; Poales; Poaceae
Description: partial small subunit ribosomal RNA
Source: RNAcentral